GGAAAGGCGCGCGAUACAGGGUGACAGCCCCGUACACAAAAAUGCACAUGCUGUGAGCUCGAUGAGUAGGGCGGGACACGUGGUAUCCUGUCUGAAUAUGGGGGGACCAUCCUCCAAGGCUAAAUACUCCUGACUGACCGAUAGUGAACCAGUACCGUGAGGGAAAGGCGAAAAGAACCCCGGCGAGGGGAGUGAAAAAGAACCUGAAACCGUGUACGUACAAGCAGUGGGAGCACGCUUAGGCGUGUGACUGCGUACCUUUUGUAUAAUGGGUCAGCGACUUAUAUUCUGUAGCAAGGUUAACCGAAUAGGGGAGCCGAAGGGAAACCGAGUCUUAACUGGGCGUUAAGUUGCAGGGUAUAGACCCGAAACCCGGUGAUCUAGCCAUGGGCAGGUUGAAGGUUGGGUAACACUAACUGGAGGACCGAACCGACUAAUGUUGAAAAAUUAGCGGAUGACUUGUGGCUGGGGGUGAAAGGCCAAUCAAACCGGGAGAUAGCUGGUUCUCCCCGAAAGCUAUUUAGGUAGCGCCUCGUGAAUUCAUCUCCGGGGGUAGAGCACUGUUUCGGCAAGGGGGUCAUCCCGACUUACCAACCCGAUGCAAACUGCGAAUACCGGAGAAUGUUAUCACGGGAGACACACGGCGGGUGCUAACGUCCGUCGUGAAGAGGGAAACAACCCAGACCGCCAGCUAAGGUCCCAAAGUCAUGGUUAAGUGGGAAACGAUGUGGGAAGGCCCAGACAGCCAGGAUGUUGGCUUAGAAGCAGCCAUCAUUUAAAGAAAGCGUAAUAGCUCACUGGUCGAGUCGGCCUGCGCGGAAGAUGUAACGGGGCUAAACCAUGCACCGAAGCUGCGGCAGCGACGCUGAUGCGUUGUUGGGUAGGGG
RNAcentral lists this ribosomal RNA (887 nucleotides) under Escherichia coli. RNAcentral describes it as "partial 23S ribosomal RNA". It matches the Rfam family "Bacterial large subunit ribosomal RNA", at positions 344 to 1234 of the family's 2925-position model. Lineage: Bacteria; Pseudomonadati; Pseudomonadota; Gammaproteobacteria; Enterobacterales; Enterobacteriaceae. The record is from RNAcentral.